Molecule: ribosomal RNA, 429 nt
Filed under: Actinomycetes bacterium
Lineage: Bacteria; Bacillati; Actinomycetota; Actinomycetes
Description: Actinobacteria bacterium partial 16S ribosomal RNA
Rfam family: Bacterial small subunit ribosomal RNA
Source: RNAcentral
UAGGGAAUCUUCCGCAAUGGGCGAAAGCCUGACGGAGCAACGCCGCGUGAGUGAUGAAGGUCUUCGGAUCGUAAAACUCUGUUAUUAGGGAAGAACAAAUGUGUAAGUAACUAUGCACGUCUUGACGGUACCUAAUCAGAAAGCCACGGCUAACUACGUGCCAGCAGCCGCGGUAAUACGUAGGUGGCAAGCGUUAUCCGGAAUUAUUGGGCGUAAAGCGCGCGUAGGCGGUUUUUUAAGUCUGAUGUGAAAGCCCACGGCUCAACCGUGGAGGGUCAUUGUAAACUGGAAAACUUGAGUGCAGAAGAGGAAAGUGGAAUUCCAUGUGUAGCGGUGAAAUGCGCAGAGAUAUGGAGGAACACCAGUGGCGAAGGCGACUUUCUGGUCUGUAACUGACGCUGAUGUGCGAAAGCGUGGGGAUCAAACAGG